AGCCUGCGAGUCUUUGUAGCAAUACAAGGCAGACGGCUCAGUAACGCGUAGUCAACCUACCCUAUGGACGGGAAUAACCUCGGGAAACUGAGUAUAAUGCCCGAUAGAACAUUAUGCCUGGAAGGGUUUAUGUUCCAAAUGAUUUAUCGCCGUAGGAUGGGACUGCGGCCUAUCAGUUUGUUGGUGAGGUAAUGGCCCACCAAGACUAUUACAGGUACGGGCUCUGAGAGGAGUGGCCCGGAGAUGGGUACUGAGACACGGACCCAGGCCCUAUGGGGCGCAGCAGGCGAGAAAACUUUGCAAUGUGCGAAAGCACGACAAGGUUAAUCCGAGUGGUUUCUGCUAAAGGAACCUUUUGUUAGUCCUAGAAACACUAACGAAUAAGGGGUGGGCAAGUUCUGGUGUCAG
This 408-nucleotide ribosomal RNA is filed under the name uncultured archaeon. RNAcentral describes it as "bacterial SSU rRNA". It matches the Rfam family "Archaeal small subunit ribosomal RNA", at positions 47 to 461 of the family's 1478-position model. The record is from RNAcentral.